CCGUGUGCGGCCGCUGCGCACUCGGCACUGGGCGGCGCUGGCUGGCUCCCUGGCUGCGGCUCCUCAGUCGGCGGCGGCUGCUGCUGCCUGUGGCCCGGGCGGCUGGGAGAAGCGGAGUGUUGGUGAGUGACGCGGCGGAGGUGUAGUUUGACGCGGUGUGUUACGUGGGGGAGAGAAUAAAACUCCAGCGAGAUCCGGGCCGCGAACGAAAGCAGUGACGGAGGAGCUUGUACCACCGGUAACUAAAUGACCAUGGAAUCUGGAGCAGAGAACCAGCAGAGUGGAGAUGCAGCUGUAACAGAAGCUGAAAACCAACAAAUGACAGUUCAAGCCCAGCCACAGAUUGCCACAUUAGCCCAGGUAUCUAUGCCAGCAGCUCAUGCAACAUCAUCUGCUCCCACCGUAACUUUAGUACAGCUACCCAAUGGGCAGACAGUUCAAGUCCAUGGAGUUAUUCAGGCGGCCCAGCCAUCAGUUAUUCAGUCUCCACAAGUCCAGACAGUUCAGAUUUCAACUAUUGCAGAGAGUGAAGAUUCACAGGAGUCAGUGGAUAGUGUAACUGAUUCCCAAAAACGAAGGGAAAUUCUUUCAAGGAGGCCUUCCUACAGGAAAAUUCUGAAUGACUUAUCUUCUGAUGCACCAGGAGUGCCAAGGAUUGAAGAAGAAAAGUCUGAAGAGGAGACUUCAGCACCUGCCAUCACCACUGUAACGGUGCCAACUCCGAUUUACCAAACUAGCAGUGGACAGUAUAUUGCCAUUACCCAGGGAGGAGCAAUACAACUGGCUAACAAUGGUACCGAUGGGGUACAGGGCCUGCAAACAUUAACCAUGACCAAUGCAGCCGCCACUCAGCCGGGUACUACCAUUCUGCAGUAUGCACAGACCACUGAUGGACAACAGAUCUUAGUGCCCAGCAACCAAGUUGUUGUUCAAGGUACUCAAAAAUUGUAAAGCAGGAUGUCAGUGAAUUUGAAUUCUCAACGUCAGUUUGAAGAUGGUAACACAUUUAGUAUAAAUUUUUCCACUCAAACUAUACACAUUUUAAUUGAUAUUAAUAAUAUGAAUGAUUUUAUAUACCUUCAAAUUCUCUUAAGUAAUGUUAGGUUCCUUAUUAGGAGAGCAUAUUAUGAAGCUGUUUUUAGAAGCAGUUUGACAAAUAGUGAUUGUGUUUGUUUUCAGAAAUGGUGAUCAGUUAGAAAAAUAAAACUUCAGUUUAUUUAGCCAUUAUCAUUUACAUUAAAAGAAUAUGUUUACAGAUUAUAUAAUUGACAUCAAGUCAGUACACUUUUUCAUACUUUCAGUUUUGUUUUAAUUAGAAAUCUAUAAUAGUUGACCAUAAUGCUUUAUUUUCUCUUCUAUUUUGCUAUUUUAUGAAAAAUCAUGGUCGUUUUUAUGUCGUGGCAAGAGUCUACUUGAAAUUUUUUAAUAUGAAUUUACCAAUAUCAAAAGGAAGACAUUGAGGACUAUAUCUAGGAAGAUCAUCCAAGCUGUGCCCUACUUACCUUUUAGACUUAAGCUGCCUCUGGAGAUGUACAAACAUACCAGAUUCGCACAGCACCCACUAGCACUAUUGCCCCUGGAGUUGUUAUGGCAUCCUCUCCAGCACUUCCUACACAACCUGCUGAAGAAGCAGCCCGAAAGAGAGAGGUUCGUCUAAUGAAGAACAGGGAAGCAGCCCGAGAGUGUCGCAGAAAGAAGAAAGAAUAUGUGAAAUGUUUAGAAAACAGAGUGGCAGUGCUUGAAAACCAAAACAAGACAUUGAUUGAGGAGCUAAAAGCACUUAAGGACCUUUACUGCCACAAAUCAGAUUAAUUUGGGAUUUAAAUUUUCACCUGUUAAGGUGGAAAAUGAACUGGCUUGGCCACAACCAGAAAGACAAAAUAAACAUUUUAUUUUCUAAACAUUUCUUUUUUUCUAUGCGCAAAACUGCCUGAAAGCAACUUCAGAAUUUCAUUCAUUUGUGCUUUUGCAUUAAACUGUGAAUGUUCCAACACCUGCCUCCACUUCUCCCCUCAAGAAAUUUUCAGCGCCAGGAAUCAUGAAGAGACUGCUUUUCAACCCCCACCCUCCUCAAGAAGUAAUAAUUCGUUUCUUGUAAAUUGAUGGGGGAAAUAAGGAAAAGAAAAUCUUUUUUAAAAUGAUUUCAAGGUUUGUGCUGAGCUCCUUGAUUGCCUUAGGGACAGAAUUACCCCAGCCUCUUGAGCUGAAGUAAUAUGUGGGCCGCAUGCAUAAAGUAAGUAAGGUACAAUGAAGAAGUGUUGAUUGCCAAAUUGACAUGUUUUCACAUUUUCAUUGUCAAUUAUGUAAAAUUGUUAAGAGACAUACACUCUAAAAAAGAAUUUUAGUAUGGUAUUGAAGAAAUUAGGAAUGUAUUCAGAGUGCUUUCUAUGUACAUUCUCUUCUUCAAUACUGAAACCUUGUCCUUUGGUUCUUACGAACAUUCUGUAUUAACUAUAUCUCUUCCAUAGGGCAGUUGUUGCUUCUUAAUUCAGUUCUGUAUGUGUUCAGCAUUUUUGAAUACAUUAAAAGAAGUAACCAACUAAAUGAAAAAGCAUGGUAUUUGAAUUUUAAAUUAAAUUGAAGUAAAUAAAAUUACAAAUUAGUACUAAAUUCUAAGUAAAAAGAUGCUGAUUAGUAAACCAACCCCUUGAGUUACAUAACAAGGUUUUUAAAUAAAUGUUUUUGUCCUCGCUUUCAAAAAUAUUUAUAUUGUCACUUGUUUACUUAAAAGGAUAUUUCUAAUUUACUGUUGUCCUUUGCACUUACAUUAUACCACCAACAGGAAAGCCUUCGAGAUGUUAAAGCAAAGUGAUGUAUUUGUUAUGAAAUGUUACAUGUAGAAAAAUACUGAUUCUAAAUCUUUUCCACAUUAACAUACUUCAACAGAGAAUCACCAGUGAAUUUUUUAAAUGAAAGAAGUUGUAGGGAUAUUAUUCUAAAAAGUACAGUGUUAGAUUUUAGAUUUGCACAAGGAAAGCAAUUCAGACAUAUUUGAAUGACUACUGUACUACAAUAUUUGGAUUGUCAUUCUUAUAAAACAUUUUUUCGUUCUCUUCUAAAAAGGGUAGUUAUAUUUUAGCUUUCCAAUAUGCUAUAUUGCCUUUGUCAUUUUAUAAAGGAGCUACCUAGUUUAAUUCCUGACUAUAAUAGUCUAUAUUUGUGUAUGUCAUACAUUGUUCCUCUAAUACUACUUUUAAUUAUUAAUUUCGUGUUUUAUUCACUGAGCCUGAUAAAUCUAAAAGUAAUCCCUUAAAAGAAAAAUAAGACUAUGGUGGAUUUUAAAAAUUUGGAGACUGGCAUAAUGUUAGGUUAUAAUUUCUCAUUUGAGAAGGAAAUUCCUUUUAAAAAAAGAGUCAAGAAACUUAGAAGGUUAAUGCUUCAUAUUUAGUAAUGGGUUAAGAAAGUUAAAUUUGUUUAACAUGAUAACAAAAUGUACAGAUUUAAGUGUUAUUGGGUCCAUUUAAAAGAGAUUUUUAAUUAGUAUUUGUAAAUGGUAUAUUUUUGUUUGUAACAAACCAUUGUCUUUUUUCAAGGAUGAACAGAGUUUAUGAAGGAGCAUCAUUCUAAGAAUUGAGUGAUGUAGUCUUUAUGUUUGGACAAUUCACCAGAUUCUCAAGAAGGCUUUCAAACGACUGUAAAGUUUGAUAUUUGUCCUGCUGAGCUAAUGGGGAAAGUUAUAGCAUAAAAAAUGUUUGUAUACCAGCAUAGAUUUGUCAUUUUCUAAAACUGGUUUAAUAGAAACCAAGCAAAGUCACAAAUCUGUUCACAAACUGGAAUUAUUUCUUAUUGAGUCAAAAUGUCAGAUUGAACAUUCUUAAUGUCAUAAGUGUUACAAAUGAAAAAUUGCCUGGUGUUUAGCAAUUUGUAUUCUCUAAAGUUCUGUUUUUCAAAAGCUGAGGCUUUCAAGUUAGGAAGUUGGUGGUCCUCUUAGUCCCUGAUAAAUCAAGGCAAUCACAUUCAUAUUAACUGGAUGGAUUUUAUGUUAUAAAGACCUGGUCCUUUAUACUUUGAGGAAGAUUGCACUGGUUUUGAAGUCAGUUACUGAAUGUGAGGUGAGGAAUGUAUCCUGUUGCUAAGUCUGUUUUAGACCCUUGGAAAGACUUGAAGAUUUCAGUUUAUACAGAUAGAAAUCAAGCAUCUUUUGUGUGGGCUUUUUUUUUAAUAUGAGAAUUAGGGGGGAGGGGAAAGGUGUUUGUUUUUAAGCAUGAAGCUUUGAGAACCUUUAUUAAGAAAAUGACAUAAUAAAAAAAAAAAUCCCAUAGCCAAGAACAUACGUGGCCACAUUACCAGUAAUAAAUGUUUUUCUCUUCAUAUUGGCCAAAAGGGAAUGAAAAUGUCAUCAUAGGAAUUUGUACAUAUGCUACUGAUUUGCCUAGAAAAUAGCAAGUUUGGUAUCGCUCACUUUGCAAAUAUAGGGCCAUGUGGCACUUUUAUCUAUAGGACAGAUUAACUCUAAUAAAAAUGAAGUGGGGAGGGGUUUAUUUUUGAUAUCUUACUCUUAGGAGUUUUUGAGCUUUGAUAGUGUUUAACUGAAAAGUGGUUUAGAAAGGGCUAGAUCCAAUUUGUUCAUUAUUGAAAAAUUGAUAUCAGAUACAAUUUUAAGUUCAUUCUUUUUCAAACUCAAGUACCAUAUUGGCAACCAUAAUAUUGUCAUAGGUGCUCUGUUCAUUUAGAUAUCCUGGGGAGGGAGGGGAAAUGGCAUUUGUAUAAUAUAUGUGUACAUAUAUACAUACAGUAUAUAAUCUGAAAGCUCUGAGAGCUCUUAAGUCAGGAAUGCUGAGUAUUAUAGUAUAUUGAGGUCAGAUGAAAUUUUACAUUUUUGUGUGUUCUGUUGCAUCCCUUCUGGUAGAUUCUAUGACUGCAUUACUCCAGCACUCAUGAUUGAUUUUUUAUCGUCUAAUUUUCUUCCAAGUAUUUUAUUAUUAAGUUUUCGUUGGCUUGAUACUUUUAAAUAUGUUGCUAGUCACUUGAAAACUUCCCCAACUUCCCCCACUAAAAGUAUUUGGUUUUUAUGCUUUGUCUCUGGCAGCUAUAACAGUGGUAAGAACAUUUUAAAGAUAGCUUUUACAAGGAACCACUGACUUUUCAAAAAUCAUCCUGGGGAAGGAAUUUUGAUGUUUCAUUUGAGCAGGGAUUUUGUCAGAAAAUGUGUUUUGACGGUAGUCAGCAGCAGUGCUAGUUUCUGAAAGCACAAUACCAGUUAGGCAGCCUGUCCCAUCAGAUGUCAUCUGGCUGAAGUUUAUCUCUGUCUCUCAGGACUAAUCCCUACUAUCUUUUAACCUUUUGUGGUGGCAUGUGGAAUCAUACAAAGGCUUAGGAAGAAACAAGUUUGUUUAAACCAGGAUGUUUUUACUUACUUGAAGUGACUUCGAUCUAGGUUUCUUUUUUUAUAUUUAAUAAGUUUUUAAUUCUAUGAUCAGUUAGAGUCAGCUAUUAGCAUAAAUUGGUCUCUGUUUAUUUUGAAAAUCAAAGGCUGCUUCAUUUUGUAGGAUUAUAUAAGGCUAAUAUAUAUUAAAAUUAGGAUUUUGAAUUAAAGUGGGUUUUAGAAAUAGUGGUUACAUACCUUUUCAGUUAUUUUCAAGAGGCUUUAUUUUGUUGCCUUUGCAGCCCUGAGAACUGUUGGUAUGUUUUUUCCCAUUGAUCUAAUACAAAAGUUGUAUAUUUAUUUGGAUUAUAUUUACAUUAUAUUCUUUGUAAAUGUUUGGUGUAACUUGCACUUUUAAAAAUGACCCAGUUUGGGUAUUAGCAACUUAAGGAAAUUCCCUCAUCAGUUAAUUAUCAACUGACUUUUUGGUCUUUCUCCUAUCUUUAAAUCAUGUGACUUUAGAAGCUUUUCAUUGAUUAAAAUAUUUUAGCACCCCAAAGCUAGCCUUGAAAAAUAGCUGUAAAAGAAACACCAGGAAAUUAGAUUUGACUAGCCCAGCAUUAAAAGAUGGGCUAAAACCUAAUUUUAUUCUUUUUUAUCAUGGAUAAAGAUUGAAGGAAAAGUAAUUCGAGUGAAUAAUAUUUAUUUCCAGUUUUAAAUGAGACUUUAUCCUCAUCCCAACAUUAAUACUGUAUAUAGUAUGCCAAAAUGCCCGUUAUUUUUUUCCAGAAUAGUAAAAGAUUUUUGAGGCCAUUAAAUUAUUGUUUUAUCAUGGAGACCACAUGUAGUAAUAAUCAUUUUACUAAAUUAUUUUUAUUUUAAAUUGGCUUGGUUGACAUCAAGGAAAUGCUGCCUAAAUUUGACUAAUUUCAGAUGAGGAAGGGGAAAGUGAAGUGUGCUUAUGUAAGCCUGUAGGUAAAGAGUUGUGAGAUAAAGUUGUUCACUCAGUUGUACAAAGCACAACUAGAACUUUUUGUUGGGUGGCUUACAUACAUCUUGAAUACUUUUAAUGUUAAUAAUGUUGACUUUAUUAAGUUGACUACACAGUCAUUGUAUGUACUAGGAACUGGUUUCCUUGACUCUCUAGAAUCAAUGGCUAGGAGAGGCAUUAAUCCUUGAGGGAUUGAACAUAUCAUGAAGCUGAGUCAGUAUGGAAGAAUUUCAAAUAAAUUCAAACAGGGUGCUGACGUUCCAUCUGUCUCAUCUGCUUGUGAUAAGUUCUUAUUGAUUAGUGAAUGUAGCUUAAGCCUUUGUAUGUGUCCUCAGGGGGCAGACAAACUUUAAGAGGGACCAGAUAACGUUUGAAUGGAGGGAUUAUAUUUCAGGUGUUUUAACUUGAAAUUUAUUUUUUAAAAAAAGAAAAAUUAAAAAAAAAAAAAAUAGAACAAAGCCUGUGAUGCAAGUUGGUAUUAUAAACAGGCAGAGUUGUUUAGCACAGAGAGAAAAUAUUGACCUGUCUGCAUUCUGGUACUGUGGGUGCAGGUCCCAGCUGGGUAUAACAUGAUACAUUUUUAAUUAUUCUCACCAGCAAGUAAAAGGAAAAUGAACAAUCUUCCGGAAAUGUCUUUGAAAAGAAUCAGACAGUAGGAAAUUCAAAUUUUACCUACUUUAUACGGCAUUAUUUAAUACUUGCCUAUAGAAGCGUGGCAUUUCCAAGCUUCUGUCUGAGGAGCAUCUCAGAGAUGUGAGAGUAAAUCUAAGAUUGUUUAAAAAUUGGUAGGGAAGGAAGAAAAUCCCUGCAGAUAAUGAUCUUAUGUUUAGUUGGCCAAGUAAAAUGAUCUAUCAUUGUGUUUGGGAGGUUUUAUUUUCUUAUGUUUUUAAAAUGAAUUGGUAAAUGCUUUAUAGAUGUAUUUUUAUCCAGGUGCCACUCCAAUUUGUGUAUGUAAUAAAAUUAUUUAUAUUAAAAGUGGGAAAUAAUUUGUCAGCAUUUUUCUUUGAGUAUAGAUUUAUUAGAGGUGGCAAAGAAGAGUGCUAGUUAGCAGUUUUCCAUGUAAAAUUGUCCUUGACUGAUUUGUCCACGUCAGUAGAAACCACCACCCCCACAAGAGAAAUUAUUUCUAACCUAUAGGUAUCGCUUGAAACUUUUUAGAAACAAAAUAAUCAGGGAAAUUCCUAGAGAGAAAGGGUGUUUGGCUUUUUGGUUUUUCCUUGAGGAUUGGGGUAAAGAAUACUUCCCCCAAAACUAUCAGCACAAAACAGGGUAUUGAUUUUUAACUCUGAUGUUUCUAUUGGAGUUGAAUACUAAAUAAAUAACUAUGAGGGAAAUACAUUUCUAAUAAAAUUCCCUACAUUCUAGAAACAUCCCUGUUUUAAUUUUUUUACCUAAAAUCUUUGUGCUUUAUGUGUAAAGAAAAAAAUGUACAAGUUACAAUGCAUUUUAUUAACACUAUGUACAUAUUAGCUGCUUUGUGUUCAGAAUGGUAGCAAUUGCUUUGUAUAUUAAAGUGAUCCUUGUGAAUUUGUGGAAUAUUGUCAUAAAGUGCUUUUUCUUACUGUAAUCUUUGUGGUAUCAACUGUCAUAAUGCCCUUUUUACACAAACAUUUAUGUGCAGUCACAUAAACAUGCUUUUAAAAACUC
Microcebus murinus (gray mouse lemur) is the source of this 7943-nucleotide non-coding RNA. Lineage: Eukaryota; Metazoa; Chordata; Mammalia; Primates; Cheirogaleidae. The record is from RefSeq and is a predicted model, not a curated record.